AUUGAACGCGGGCGGCAGGCUUAACACAUGCAAGUCGAGCGGGGUGAUGGUGCUUGCACUAUCACUUAGCGGCGGACGGGUGAGUAAUGCUUAGGAAUCUGCCUAUUAGUGGGGGACAACAUCUCGAAAGGGAUGCUAAUACCGCAUACGUCCUACGGGAGAAAGCAGGGGAUCACUUGUGACCUUGCGCUAAUAGAUGAGCCUAAGUCGGAUUAGCUAGUUGGUGGGGUAAAGGCCUACCAAGGCGACGAUCUGUAGCGGUCUGAGAGGAUGAUCCGCCACACUGGGACUGAGACACGGCCCAGACUCCUACGGGAGGCAGCAGUGGGGAAUAUUGGACAAUGGGGGGAACCCUGAUCCAGCCAUGCCGCGUGUGUGAAGAAGGCCUUAUGGUUGUAAAGCACUUUAAGCGAGGAGGAGGCUCUUUUGGUUAAUACCCAAGAUGAGUGGACGUUACUCGCAGAAUAAGCACCGGCUAACUCUGUGCCAGCAGCCGCCGUAA
RNAcentral lists this ribosomal RNA (502 nucleotides) under uncultured bacterium. Its description in RNAcentral is "partial 16S ribosomal RNA". It matches the Rfam family "Bacterial small subunit ribosomal RNA", at positions 30 to 523 of the family's 1533-position model. The record is from RNAcentral.